GGGGGGACGCAGUAGGAUAGGCGAAGCGUGCUGUUGGAGUGCACGUCCAAGCAGUAAGGCUGAGUGUUAGGCAAAUCCGGCACUCAUAAGGCUGAGCUGUGAUGGGGAGAGGAAAUUGUUUCCUCGAGUCGUUGAUUUCACACUGCCGAGAAAAGCCUCUAGAUAGAUAACAGGUGCCCGUACCGCAAACCGACACAGGUAGUCAAGAUGAGAAUUCUAAGGUGAGCGAGCGAACUCUCGUUAAGGAACUCGGCAAAAUGACCCCGUAACUUCGGGAGAAGGGGUGCUCUUUAGGGUUCACGCCCAGAAGAGCCGCAGUGAAUAGGCCCAAGCGACUGUUUAUCAAAAACACAGGUCUCUGCUAAACCGUAAGGUGAUGUAUAGGGGCUGACGCCUGCCCGGUGCUGGAAGGUUAAGAGGAGUGGUUAGCUUCUGCGAAGCUACGAAUCGAAGCCCCAGUAAACGGCGGCCGUAACUAUAACGGUCCUAAGGUAGCGAAAUUCCUUGUCGGGUAAGUUCCGACCCGCACGAAAGGCGUAACGAUUUGGGCACUGUCUCAACGAGAGACUCGGUGAAAUCAUAGUACCUGUGAAGAUGCAGGUUACCCGCGACAGGACGGAAAGACCCCGUGGAGCUUUACUGUAGCCUGAUAUUGAAAUUCGGCACAGCUUGUACAGGAUAGGUAGGAGCCUUUGAAACGUGAGCGCUAGCUUACGUGGAGGCGUUGGUGGGAUACUACCCUAGCUGUGUUGGCUUUCUAACCCGCACCACUUAUCGUGGUGGGAGACAGUGUCAGGCGGGCAGUUUGACUGGGGCGGUCGCCUCCUAAAAGGUAACGGAGGCGCUCAAAGGUUCCCUCAGAAUGGUUGGAAAUCAUUCAUAGAGUGUAAAGGCAUAAGGGAGCUUGACUGCGAGACCUACAAGUCGAGCAGGGUCGAAAGACGGACUUAGUGAUCCGGUGGUUCCGCAUGGAAGGGCCAUCGCUCAACGGAUAAAAGCUACCCCGGGGAUAACAGGCUUAUCUCCCCCAAGAGUUCACAUCGACGGGGAGGUUUGGCACCUCGAUGUCGGCUCAUCGCAUCCUGGGGCUGUAGUCGGUCCCAAGGGUUGGGCUGUUCGCCCAUUAAAGCGGUACGCGAGCUGGGUUCAGAACGUCGUGAGACAGUUCGGUCCCUAUCCGUCGUGGGCGUAGGAAAUUUGAGAGGAGCUGUCCUUAGUACGAGAGGACCGGGAUGGACAUACCUCUGGUGUACCAGUUGUCGUGCCAACGGCAUAGCUGGGUAGCUAUGUAUGGACGGGAUAAGUGCUGAAAGCAUCUAAGCAUGAAGCCCCCCUCAAGAUGAGAUUUCCCAACUUCGGUUAUAAGAUCCCUCGAAGAUGACGAGGUUAAUAGGUUCGAGGUGGAAGCGUGGUGACACGUGGAGCUGACGAAUACUAAUCGAUCGAAGACUUAAUCAAUUUUUAAA
This 1466-nucleotide ribosomal RNA is filed under the name Staphylococcus sp. HMSC034A07. RNAcentral's name for it is "bacterial LSU rRNA". It matches the Rfam family "Bacterial large subunit ribosomal RNA", at positions 1466 to 2925 of the family's 2925-position model. The record is from RNAcentral. Lineage: Bacteria; Bacillati; Bacillota; Bacilli; Caryophanales; Staphylococcaceae.